RNAcentral lists this ribosomal RNA (826 nucleotides) under Lactiplantibacillus plantarum subsp. plantarum. RNAcentral's name for it is "partial 16S ribosomal RNA". The record is from RNAcentral. Lineage: Bacteria; Bacillati; Bacillota; Bacilli; Lactobacillales; Lactobacillaceae.
AGGCAGCAGUAGGGAAUNUUCCNCAAUGGACGAAANUCUGANGNGNGNCGCNGNGUGAGUGAAGAAGGGUUUCGGCUCGUAAAACUCUGNUGUUAAAGAAGAACAUAUCUGAGAGUAACUGUUCAGGUAUUGACGGUAUUUAACYWKWWWGCCWMKGCUAACUACSUSCCAGCMGCCGCGGUAAWACGUAGGUGGCMAGCGUUGUCCGGAUUUAUUGGGCGUAAAGCGAGCGCAGGCGGUUUUUUAAGUCUGAUGUGAAAGCCUUCGGCUCAACCGAAGAAGUGCAUCGGAAACUGGGAAACUUGAGUGCAGAAGAGGACAGUGGAACUCCAUGUGUAGCGGUGAAAUGCGUAGAUAUAUGGAAGAACACCAGUGGCGAAGGCGGCUGUCUGKUCUGUAACUGACGCUGAGGCUCGAAAGUAUGGGYARCMAACAGGAUUAGAUACCCUGGUAGUCCAUACCGUNNNCGAUGAAUGCUAAGUGUUGGAGGGUUUCCGCCCUUCAGUGCUGCAGCUAACGCAUUAAGCAUUCCGCCUGGGGAGUACGGCCGCAAGGCUGAAACUCAAAGGAAUUGACGGGGGCCCGCACAAGCGGUGGAGCAUGUGGUUUAAUUCGAAGCUACGCGAAGAACCUUACCAGGUCUUGACAUACUAUGCAAAUCUAAGAGAUUAGACGUUCCCUUCGGGGACAUGGAUACAGGUGGUGCAUGGUUGUCGUCAGCUCGUGUCGUGAGAUGUUGGGUUAAGUCCCGCAACGAGCGCAACCCUUAUUAUCAGUUGCCAGCAUUAAGUUCUCUGGNNNGACUGCCGGNGACAAACNGGANUNG